This 246-nucleotide ribosomal RNA is filed under the name uncultured bacterium. Its description in RNAcentral is "partial 16S ribosomal RNA". It matches the Rfam family "Bacterial small subunit ribosomal RNA", at positions 524 to 769 of the family's 1533-position model. The record is from RNAcentral.
UACAGAGGGUGCAAGCGUUAAUCGGAAUUACUGGGCGUAAAGCGCACGUAGGCGGUUUUUUAAGUCAGAUGUGAAAGCCCCGGGCUCAACCUGGGAAUUGCAUUUGAAACUGGAAAACUAGAGUGUGUGAGAGGGGGGUAGAAUUCCAAGUGUAGCGGUGAAAUGCGUAGAGAUUUGGAGGAAUACCAGUGGCGAAGGCGGCUCACUGGUCCGGUACUGACGCUGAGGUGCGAAAGCGUGGGGAGC